RNAcentral lists this ribosomal RNA (253 nucleotides) under uncultured bacterium. Its description in RNAcentral is "partial 16S ribosomal RNA". It matches the Rfam family "Bacterial small subunit ribosomal RNA", at positions 524 to 776 of the family's 1533-position model. The record is from RNAcentral.
UACGUAGGGUGCGAGCGUUAAUCGGAAUUACUGGGCGUAAAGCGUGCGCAGGCGGUUUUGUAAGUCUGUCGUGAAAUCCCCGGGCUCAACCUGGGAAUUGCGAUGGAGACUGCAAGGCUAGAAUCUGGCAGAGGGGGGUAGAAUUCCACGUGUAGCAGUGAAAUGCCGUAGAGAUGUGGAGGAACACCGAUGGCGAAGGCAGCCCCCUGGGUCAAGAUUGACGCUCAUGCACGAAAGCGUGGGAGCAAACAGG